Molecule: long non-coding RNA, 510 nt
Filed under: Coturnix japonica (Japanese quail)
Lineage: Eukaryota; Metazoa; Chordata; Aves; Galliformes; Phasianidae
Description: lncRNA (ENSCJPG00005002854.1)
Source: RNAcentral
GCUAUGGGGCAGUUAUGGGGUCUAUGGGGUGGAUGUGGGGGGCUAUGGGGCAGUUAUGGGGUGGCUGUGGGGGCCAUGGGGCCUAUGGGGCAGAUAUGGAGGGCUAUGGGAUGGCUAUGGGUGUCUAUGGGGCAGAUACGGAGGGCUAUGGGAUGGCUAUGGGGCACCUAUAGGGCAGAUAUAGGGCAGCUAUGGGGCGGCUGUAGGGGCCAUGGGGGCCUAUGGGGCAGAUAUGGAGGGCUGUGGGGCAGGUAUGGAGGGCUAUGGGAUGGGUAUGGGGGGCUAUGGGAUGGAUAUGGGGCAGCUAUGGGGUGGCUGUGGGGGCCAUGUGGCCUAUGGGGCAGAUAUGGAGGGCUAUGGGAUGAAUAUGGGGCAGAUAUAGGGCAGUUAUGGGGUGGCUAUGGGAUGGCUAUGGGAUGGGUAUGGGGGGCUAUGGGAUGGGUAUGGGGGGCUAUGGGAUGGGUAUGGGUGGCUAUGGGGCAGCUAUGGGGCAGCUAUGGGGGUCUAUGG